CUUGAGCUUGAGCUUGAUUGAUCACCACCGGUUGCCACUUCGUUACUGAUCAGGAUCGAUUGGAGUUGUAAAUCGAAUUUAGUGAUUCCUGCUUGGGAUUUAGCUUUUCGAUGUGCAUCUCCAAUAACCCCUGCAUGCUGAUCAGUACCGACGCCUGCCGGUCCAGAACGUAGAUCAAAGGAAGGAAGGAAAGGGGUGUUAGUUCGAUACUUGUUGUUACUAGAGGCCGGAUAUACUCCUGCACACUCCACAAGCACCACGGGAGUACGACGGGAAUAACGAGCUUUGUACUAAUAGAGGAACUGACCGACCCUUCCAAUUUUGAACCCGACGUGCACGCACUUUCCCGAGUGACGGGAUACAAGCGAAUCGUGGAGGUUAAGUAAUUUCGGUUACCUUACGUAUCGUACGACUCUACGCGUUUCUGCUCAUGAACACCUUAAUUUACCCAUUCACGAAUCAAUGAGUAGCUUUAUUUCGUAAGACGUUAAACUUUAUUCGGAAACUGUAAGCCGACCGCAAUUUUAG
Wyeomyia smithii (pitcher-plant mosquito) is the source of this 528-nucleotide long non-coding RNA. RefSeq lists it as uncharacterized. The transcript is spliced from 3 exons. The record is from RefSeq and is a predicted model, not a curated record. NCBI's taxonomy places the organism in Eukaryota, Metazoa, Arthropoda, Insecta, Diptera, Culicidae.